CGGCGGGCGUGACUCGCGUGCGUCACCGCCGCCGCGCCCUAAAACCCGUGCUGCGCAGUUUGUGGUCCUCAAGUGCUCCCUGUUCGGACUCUGAGCACAGGUUAGGUGUCGGGUUAUUGUCGGCCUGGAUGCAGGUGCUAUGCAGUCCCAGUCGUCCAAAACUGACUUAGGAGGAUCGCCGCGAGUUGGAAACCAGCCCUUGCUACACAGAAACAGAAAAUUUUGGGGACCUGGAGCGUGGAAAAAGUUCUUAGAGUUGGAGAGUAAAACCCACAAAAGAAAGAAUGAUAAACUAAACCAUCUGCCAUCAAAACUAAACACUCUUAUCUGGGUAUGAUGAUGUUCCCUCAUCCUCCUAACACUUGAGAAGCAAAGUCCUCACUCUCAAGGAACUUACUUCCUGGUGGCAAACCAGUCAACAAAUACAUAACCAGAAGUGAUGAGCUGAGAUAAAGGUGGCAGAGAGAUGCGUGAGGAGCCCCACACAGGAACCCAAUACAGAGAGGAGAGAAACAAACACGGCUUGUUUAUUAGAACUGAGAGAGGAAUUGCUCUCCCACAGAUAGAAGAGUGCUGCCUCUCAGUGUGUAUCAAGAGCAAGACAACAAUUGAAAAGUGUAUUCCUGAGAAGAAGCAAAAAAGUUACCAGCUUGCAAACAAACAUAACAGGUGAGUUCAACAAAAAAUAAAACUUUUUUUAAAAACAAAAAACAAAA
Long non-coding RNA from Cavia porcellus (domestic guinea pig), 716 nucleotides. RefSeq lists it as uncharacterized. The transcript has 4 exons. The record is from RefSeq and is a predicted model, not a curated record. Lineage: Eukaryota; Metazoa; Chordata; Mammalia; Rodentia; Caviidae.